This 444-nucleotide ribosomal RNA is filed under the name uncultured Novosphingobium sp. Its description in RNAcentral is "bacterial SSU rRNA". It matches the Rfam family "Bacterial small subunit ribosomal RNA", at positions 335 to 796 of the family's 1533-position model. The record is from RNAcentral. Lineage: Bacteria; Pseudomonadati; Pseudomonadota; Alphaproteobacteria; Sphingomonadales; Sphingomonadaceae.
UUUCCUACGGGGGGCAGCAGUGGGGAAUAUUGGACAAUGGGCGCAAGCCUGAUCCAGCAAUGCCGCGUGAGUGAUGAAGGCCUUCGGGUCGUAAAGCUCUUUUACCAGGGAUGAUAAUGACAGUACCUGGAGAAUAAGCUCCGGCUAACUCCGUGCCAGCAGCCGCGGUAAUACGGAGGGAGCUAGCGUUGUUCGGAAUUACUGGGCGUAAAGCGCGCGUAGGCGGCUACUCAAGUCAGAGGUGAAAGCCCGGGGCUCAACCCCGGAACUGCCUUUGAAACUAGGUGGCUAGAAUCUUGGAGAGGUCAGUGGAAUUCCGAGUGUAGAGGUGAAAUUCGUAGAUAUUCGGAAGAACACCAGUGGCGAAGGCGACUGACUGGACAAGUAUUGACGCUGAGGUGCGAAAGCGUGGGGAGCAAACAGGAUUAGAUACCCCGGUAGUCC